GGCUCAGGACGAACGCUGGCGGCGUGCCUAAUACAUGCAAGUUGAGCGCUGAAGGUUGGUACUUGUACCGACUGGAUGAGCAGCGAACGGGUGAGUAACGCGUGGGGAAUCUGCCUUUGAGCGGGGGACAACAUUUGGAAACGAAUGCUAAUACCGCAUAAAAACUUUAAACACAAGUUUUAAGUUUGAAAGAUGCAAUUGCAUCACUCAAAGAUGAUCCCGCGUUGUAUUAGCUAGUUGGUGAGGUAAAGGCUCACCAAGGCGAUGAUACAUAGCCGACCUGAGAGGGUGAUCGGCCACAUUGGGACUGAGACACGGCCCAAACUCCUACGGGAGGCAGCAGUAGGGAAUCUUCGGCAAUGGACGAAAGUCUGACCGAGCAACGCCGCGUGAGUGAAGAAGGUUUUCGGAUCGUAAAACUCUGUUGGUAGAGAAGAACGUUGGUGAGAGUGGAAAGCUCAUCAAGUGACGGUAACUACCCAGAAAGGGACGGCUAACUACGUGCCAGCAGCCGCGGUAAUACGUAGGUCCCGAGCGUUGUCCGGAUUUAUUGGGCGUAAAGCGAGCGCAGGUGGUUUAUUAAGUCUGGUGUAAAAGGCAGUGGCUCAACCAUUGUAUGCAUUGGAAACUGGUAGACUUGAGUGCAGGAGAGGAGAGUGGAAUUCCAUGUGUAGCGGUGAAAUGCGUAGAUAUAUGGAGGAACACCGGUGGCGAAAGCGGCUCUCUGGCCUGUAACUGACACUGAGGCUCGAAAGCGUGGGGAGCAAACAGGAUUAGAUAC
RNAcentral lists this ribosomal RNA (781 nucleotides) under Lactococcus lactis. RNAcentral describes it as "bacterial SSU rRNA". It matches the Rfam family "Bacterial small subunit ribosomal RNA", at positions 21 to 785 of the family's 1533-position model. Lineage: Bacteria; Bacillati; Bacillota; Bacilli; Lactobacillales; Streptococcaceae. The record is from RNAcentral.